This 440-nucleotide ribosomal RNA is filed under the name uncultured bacterium. RNAcentral describes it as "partial 16S ribosomal RNA". It matches the Rfam family "Bacterial small subunit ribosomal RNA", at positions 338 to 795 of the family's 1533-position model. The record is from RNAcentral.
CCUACGGGUGGCAGCAGUGGGGAAUAUUGCACAAUGGGGGAAACCCUGAUGCAGCGACGCCGCGUGAGUGAAGAAGUAUUUCGGUAUGUAAAGCUCUAUCAGCAGGGAAGAAAAUGACGGUAACUGAUUAAGAAGCCCCGGCUAACGACGUGCCAGCCGCCGCGGUAAUACGUAGGGGGCAAGCGUCAUCCGGAUUUACUGGGGGUAGAGGGAGCGUAGGCGGCAGCACAAGUCUGGAGUGAAAUGCCGGAGCUUAACCCCGGAACUGCUUUGGAAACUGUGCAGCUAGAGUGCAGGAGAGGUAAGUGGAAUUCCUAGUGUAGCGGUGGAAUGCGUAGAUAUUAGGAGGAACACCAGUGGCGAAGGCGGCUUACUGGACUGUAACUGACGUUGAGGCUCGAAAGCGUGGGGAGCAAACAGGAUUAGAUACCCUAGUAGUC